Molecule: ribosomal RNA, 291 nt
Filed under: uncultured alveolate
Lineage: Eukaryota
Description: partial Bacterial large subunit ribosomal RNA
Rfam family: Bacterial large subunit ribosomal RNA
Source: RNAcentral
GAACCCGGGGAAGUGAAACAUCUCAGUACCCGGAGGAAAGGACAUCAACCGAGACUCCGUUAGUAGUGGCGAGCGAACGCGGACUAGCCCAGUGGCUCAGACAAGCGAACCGGAACCGGCUGGAAAGCCGGGCCAGAGCGGGUGACAGCCCCGUACGGGUAGGAGCUUGUUUGGGUCCUCGAGUAGGGCGGGACACGUGAAAUCCUGCCUGAACGUGGGGGGACCACCCUCCAAGCCUAAGUACUCGUGCAUGACCGAUAGCGAACCAGUACCGUGAGGGAAAGGUGAAAA